Molecule: ribosomal RNA, 505 nt
Filed under: uncultured bacterium
Lineage: Bacteria
Description: bacterial SSU rRNA
Rfam family: Bacterial small subunit ribosomal RNA
Source: RNAcentral
CGGCGCACAUAAGACAUGCAAGUCGAACGGAAGUCGUACUAAUUGAAGUGGAUUGAAGAUUAUUGGAUUGAAGCAGAUUUAAUACAAUGGCUUUAGUGGCGGACUGGUGAGUAACACGUAAGCAACCUGCCUAUUAGAGGGGAAUAACAAUGAGAAAUCAUUGCUAAUACCGCAUAAGCUUGUAGGAUCGCAUGGUCUAGCAAGAAAAGGAGUAAUCCGCUAAUAGAUGGGCUUGCGGCUGAUUAGCUAGUUGGUUAGGUAACGGCUGACCAAGGCAACGAUCAGUAGCCGGGCUGAGAGGCUCUGCGGCCACAUUGGGACUGAGAUACGGCCCAGACUCCUACGGGAGGCAGCAGUCGGGAAUAUUGCGCAAUGGAGGAAACUCUGAACCGCAGUGACGCCGCGUAUAGGAAGAAGGUUUUAGGAUUGUAAACUAUUUUAGACAGGGAAGAACAAUGACAGUACCUGUAGAAUAAGCUCCGGCUAACUACGUGCCAGCAGCAGC